RNAcentral lists this long non-coding RNA (5853 nucleotides) under Homo sapiens (human). Its description in RNAcentral is "HSALNT0405540". The record is from RNAcentral. Lineage: Eukaryota; Metazoa; Chordata; Mammalia; Primates; Hominidae.
CACUGAAAUGCUGAGACAACUGUUCCUUCUCCUCCCUUGAGCUAAGACCCUGAAAGCUGAACCAGUACCAUCUCCUUGGAGCACCUUCUGAGGGUCCCUCUAGCCUACAAAGUGUAGUCAAGUGGAAUUUGUGCGCUUUCCUGAUUCAGGCCCAAUCCAGUCUUCCUAUGCCAGCCACAGAGCAGUCCCAUACUCCCUUCUGCUCAAUCCUACCCUGCCUCUUCUGCCUGUGAGUAUCCUAUUCACUUGGCUUGGAUUACCUUUCUUGCUCAUCUGCAGUAGACUUUACCAAUGCUCCCUGCUAUCUGGAUCUCUUCCACGUUCAGAGCAGCUGUGUCUCAUAAGAUGUUAAUACUGCAGAUGUCCUGAGAAGUAUGUGUCUUCCAUGGUCAAAAGCGUACAGGUAGCAGACCAGCAAGUUAACUACAUAAUCACAUCUCUCAGUAGAACGUGACUACCAUUCCUGCAAGAACCUUAAACAAACACUUAUCACCAUCAAGAUGCCUAUUCUGGCAGAAGCCCAUUCCUCCAUCUGCAUGGAUGAUCAGAACAGAAAACAAUCCGGGAAUAUGUUGCUGUUUAGAAUUGGUUGUUGUGAGGACAAACCGAAGUGAUUCAUAAAGCACUGUACAAAUUCAGAGUAUCACAGUGAUGACUGAACACUCUGGAUUCAGGAAAUCCUUCAGCUGGAAGUCUUGCUAGGACAGAGGUAUGUGCUGUAUUGCUCCCUGAGAGGAAACCUGAUGUAAAACAAACUCAGCCUCAAGGCUGAUGUGCCUCUGAAUCUCCCCUCAGAGCAGCUAACGGCUCUAGAACUAAUAAGGUCCCAGUGGACUUUUUCUUUAAAGAAGCUUUUAAUGUUACCAGGAACUGACAGCAACGCUGUCCACAUCAAUCCCACUCAGACCCCAGCCUCUGGAAGACAUGACCUUAGAAACUCUGCAGAACUUUUCUGUCACGUUCCACCUAUGUCAACAUUCAUGCCACCCACUGUCCCAUGUCGAGUUCUAAGAAGUUAAGAUCUGUACCUGUUAAAAUGGACUUCUAGAUUUCCAAAAAAGAGUUUCAUGGGACUGUGGGCAUUUCACAUAGUUAGGCUAUCCACGGGCCUGGCCUUUCCAGAAAUGGUCAACUUCAUGUAAUCUUCUUAUCCAUAAAGGCAAAGAUUAAUUAAAUGUGUAACUAAAUAUAAUUAAUUUUUAUAACUCUCUUACAUAUUUAUUUAAAUAAACCCAUAAAUCAGAAAUGACGUUUUUUUUCCUCAGACUGAUCUUCUUGAGACUUGAUUUUUUUACUUGGAAAAUAUAGUUACUGUAAAUACUAUAAACUCUGGUUAACCAGCAUGUUCAGAGAAUAUAAAGCUGUAGUAACCUUUAAAUGCAAAGGAAGAGGAGGAGGAGGAGGAGGAGGAGGAAGAAAAGGAAGAGGAGGAGGAAGAGUGAUAAUUAAUAUCAAAUACAUUAAUACAAGCAGGUUUUAUUAACUGUACUUUUAACAGAUGAUGAAACACAUUCAGAGAGACCCAACAGCAAGUAAAUUACAAUGCCAGAAUUAGAACCCAAAUUUGGCUCACUCAGAGGCGCUCAAUCUCUGCUUCAUUCAGGUCUCUGCUCAAACAUUACCUCCUUACAGAGGCCUUCCUUGACCACACGAUUGAAAAUGUCCCAGCUGUCAGCCUGGCUCCCUCCUUCCCUGCCAUCAACUUGCUGUCUUUUUCAGUCCCCUUACCUGGCUUUAGUUUCCUUCAUAGUACUUAGCUGUAUGUUUGUUUAAAAACAUGUCUCCUGUUUGAUAGAAUGCAAGUUAAGCAGGGAUUUUAAAUUAUUCACUGCUUUAUCUCUAAUGCCUAGAAUAGUGUCUGAGACAUAAUUGGUACUAAAUGAACAAACGAAUAAAAGACCCUAAAAUGCAUGCAUUUUUCAUUACGUCUCACUGAAAGGGAACAGUAAGAAAGCGGAUACAUAUAUACACUGCAUUAUGUCAUAAUUCUUUCAUGAUCUGGGUGGUAUGAUUAUAGAAUAAAGGUUCAAAUUGAUUGUGGAGAUCACUCAUUAAUAUUUCUACUAAGGGAAAAGAGUAGCUGUCUCCUAGAAACUGAAGGAACCCUUUACAACUGUAGCAGUGUGCUCUUUUUCACACUCACAAUCUCUCCUUCCUAUCAACUCUGACAUAAGAAUACACAGGACUCUUUUCACGACAAGUCCAAGAAUUUGGUUAGAUUAUUUUUGCCAUAUAAAGGACCAUUUAAUACCAAAACAAACCUCCCACAUCAAACAGUUAAUUCCACAACCACGAAACCUCUUCUGACUCACCAAGAAAAGCCACAUCAACACAGGCACAAGGGAUUCAUUUAUUACACCAAAAGAGUCUCUUCAGUACUUCUUAAGUAACUAUAAUUUUUGGUCAUUUAAAUAAUUUUGCAUUUAAUGUAGGCUCUACUUCCAGAUUUUUCUGAAACUGAUGGAAGACAUACCUAAUAAAAAUGCAUUUCAAGAAAAAGAAACAGAUUAUGAACAUCUCGUUUCAUCUGGGUUUAUGUGAGACUUAACAUUCACUAUUCUUACUAGACAUUCUCCCUGGGAAGGUAAAACUUUUUUAAAAAGUAAUGCCUCCAAGGUACAUCGUGAAGGCAGACAUCUGCUUUAUUCAGGCAAAGUAAGUGCCCAGUAAGUGUUGGCUCACCAGAUCAUGUAUGUCUUUCACAUAGCAAAUAUUCCGAGUUCUAAGUCACAAAUCGAAUACUCAACAAUUCCGCCUAGAAUAGAGGAGUAACCAUGUCUGUGGGAGGGGGAAGGGUUGGGAAGAGAUCUGUUCUUCUUCCUGAUACCCAUGAGCAGAAUACUGUCACACAGACCUAUUUUGUGUUUUUAUAAUUACCCAAAUUCUCUUCUUUUGUCAGAAUUCAUUCUCAGUAACAGCUUGAGCAAUGUAGCAAUCGUGCUCUGAAAUGACUUGUAAACCACAGACACAAAUAUUUGGGCCAAGAAUGUGGAAUCCAUUGCUGUCACAUUCCAUUAUUUCUGGUGGAGCAAUUCACUAACAUUUUGGAAUCUAGAUCAUAAAUUAUGCAGAGCCUCAGCAAAAGAGCUGAGGAAACAAACUGCUGUAAUAAAACUCCUGUUACUGGAGCCAUAAAAACAGAACAAAGGAAAGGCAAAGAAGAAAAAUAGUGGUUGGACUUUUCUGACAUGCCUUGUCCACCAUUGUUACUGGUUUCAAAAAUGAUAAUGUAACAAUCGGAAAACCAUCAGGCAAGCCAAAAAUGAUACAAUAGGCAUACUGUCAUUCAUAAACAUCACCACCACCAUGAGAGUCCCCAGAAUAAAAUUAGCUUUUUGAAGAAUGCCUGAAUGUUGACAUAAAUUAAAGUGCCUAAAUGUACAUACAACCAAGCCAUCUGUACAUUUUUCAUGACUCUCCAGGGGUGUGAAAUGUCCUUCAACAACAGCACUUGGAUAGUGGUCGCAUUUUCUGUUGGGACAUAUCAUAAAUGUCAGAGGGAGAAAGAGAUCUGUGUCACAUGUGAACUGAAGCAGGUCCCUUUCCCUCUCUGUGGAAACUGACUUAAUGGCAGAGCUGGGACUAAAACCCACAUCUCUUGACUCCCAAGAUAAGAAUGACUUUUAUUUUGCAGUAUGAUGCCUAGAGCAUGGUAGGGGCUCAAAAAUUACUUUGUGAACGGAAGAAUGACAGAAUGAAUGGAUAGGUGAGUAAAUGAAUAAAUGGACAAAUGAAUAAAGAAGUAACAGAACCAUUCCCUGUGGUUUGAUGCUUACAGUCAGAAAAGGUCAAAAAGGGACAUAUCAUUGAAACACUUUAGAAAUAAAAUAGAGAACUGAAAAGCCAGAUGGUCCAUGCUUAGCAAACAUUCCAAAAAGCCACUGCUAACUCCAAGAACUCUUUCUUUUCAAUUAUAACAUUGUGUUGGAGAGCACUGGUGUAUCUAUCUCAAGAGAAAUAAUGAAUGUGAGAAUAAAAAUGGGUGAACAUGUUUCUUAAAUAAGACUGCUAUAAUUUAACACCCAUUUAGUAUGACUCCCUUUUUCAAGAUUUAAUGUAAAUGAGGGAGAACAGAGAGCGUGAGGGAGGGGCCAAGGACAAAGAUGGACUAAAAGUCAGGCAUGCACUUUAUGAGCACAGCACUGCUUGUGCAAUUAUUACAAACAUAUUUAGAAGAAAACAAAAUGCUUUUCAAGAUCACACAGAAGGUCUAAAAUGUUAAAACAGGGAAAAAGGGCUCAGCAAAAGUUAAAACCAUAUAAGGGAAGAAAGUUAUUUUUUCACCAGCAAAGGAAAAAACUUUUCUUCCAGCGAAUCUUACAGCACAAAAGACACUGGCCUCAAUCACCUGUUUAAGUCAGGAAUCUUCAAAUUUUUUUACGAAGAGAAACUAUUUAAAAUUUUCCCAGAGCCUCGACAUUAUUCAGAGAAGGAGGGAAAGAGAGUAGAGAAAAAGAAGGAAAAGAGCCUAGUGGUGCCAGUGGUACCUCCAAGGCAGAAGGAAGUUUCAGUCCAAUACCAGCCACUAUUUCCUGAGCCUGUACUGUGCCAGGCACCAUGCAAAAUGCUUCACAUACAUCAACUCAUUUAAUCCUCACAAGAGCCACACCCUUCAUUGCUAUCCUAGAGAUUCUAGUCUUAAUUCUAUUUUACAUCUUACAUAACUUUCCCCAGGCCACACAGCUCAUAAAUGGCAGAGCUACAAUUCAAACCAGGGCCUGUCUAAUACCAAGGCUCAGGUUUUUCUGUCUCCUGGCUGCCACAGACUCCUUCUGAGAGAAUCUCAGGAAGCCAACCAUGGCUUUACCAGGCUUAAUAGUGGAAGAUGGUUUGGAAAGCUAUCAGGUAUACCUUCAAGUUCUUUCAAAACUAUAAUUGGAGAUAUGAGUUUCAGAAAUCUGGGUUUACCAUUACAAAACAACUGGCAGUUUUCUUUCUUUGGUAAAAAUGUUCUGGAAAGCCAAAAUUGCUGUGCUAUGGUCAUUCCUUAGCCAAGUCUGCAUUUUAACAUCCAACUAAUUGAGAUGAGUGGAGACAUCUGUAAGCUUAUUUUAAAAAAGACAAAUCUCUCGAUGUGUAAUAACAGCAGUACCAUUUACUGAGGGCUUGCUAUGUGCUAAGCACUACUUGUCAAUUUACGUGGCAUCAAAGAUUAACAAGCUGAGAGCUAAGCACUAGGAAUACAAAUGCAUCAAAUGGGGAGCCCGUAGCAUAGCCUCUUUGGAGGCUUACAACCUUAAUGGGGAGACAGACAAGCAAGCUGACUGCUGCAGGGGAAUAUGCGAAGGGUGCGCCUCACCAUCUGGGCACAAAGCACUGCAAGGUGCAGAAAAGCACUGGUUUGUAUUUGAAAAAGCUUCUUAAAGGAAGGGGUGUUUCCUCACAACAAUCCUAUGAAGUUGGGAGGAACCUGAUGGUCAGAAAGGUUAAGUAAUGCAAAGGUACACAGCUAUGAAAUAAGUUGAGCCCAAGGUCACCUCACUUUGAAGCCACACUUUCCAUCAGUUCCUGUGGCAUCACAGAAAAAUAAUCUCCUUAAAUCUCUUGCCACAUGAUUACUUUUACCUUACAGGGGAAAAAACAAAACAAAUACCGACACUAACUUCUAGGUACUCCUUAGAGUCAUAUUAAUACGGCUCUAGUCAUUAAAGCGUUUUCACAUUCACACUUUCAUUUGAGUCUAAUGAUCUUGUGAGAAGCAAAUAUAUUAUUAUUGUUCCCCUUUUUUACACAUCACAAAACUGAGGCCCAGGAAAGUAAUAUAACUUGUUCAGGGUCAUGCAAAAGGUAAGAGCUCACGUUAGGCUGCUUGAAUGUCUAACUCCUAGGUCAGCCGUCUUGGCACCACAAAAC